CCUCAGUCGGGCUACCCGGGAACUGGGUAUAAUACCCGAUAGAUCUCGGCUGCUGGAAUGCAUCGAGCUCUAAAGCUCCGGCGCCUGAGGAUGGGUCUGCGGCCUAUCAGGUAGUAGUGGGUGUAGCGUACCUACUAGCCUACGACGGGUACGGGUUGUGAGAGCAAGAGCCCGGAGAUGGAUUCUGAGACACGAAUCCAGGCCCUACGGGGUGCAGCAGGCGCGAAAACUUUACAAUGCCGGCAACGGCGAUAAGGGGACCUCGAGUGCCAGGUUACAAAUCUGGCUGUCGUGAUGCCUAAAAAGCAUUGCAUAGCAAGGGCCGGGCAAGACCGGUGCCAGCCGCCGCGGUAACACCGGCGGCUCGAGUGGUAACCGUUAUUAUUGGGUCUAAAGGGUCUGUAGCCGGCCGGAUAAGUCUCUUGGGAAAUCCAGCAGCUUAACUGUUGGGCUUUCAGGAGAUACUGUCUGGCUCGAGGCCGGGAGAGGUGAGAGGUACUUCAGGGGUAGGGGUGAAAUCUUGUAAUCCUUGAAGGACCACCAGUGGCGAAGGCGUCUCACCAGAACGGACCUGACGGCAAGGGACGAAAGCUAGGGGCACGAACCGGAUUAGAUACCCGGGUAGUCCUAGCCGUAAACGAUACUCGCUAGGUGUCGGCCACGGUGCGACCGUUGUCGGUGCCGUAGGGAAGCCGUGAAGCGAGCCACCUGGGAAGUACGGCCGCAAGGCUGAAACUUAAAGGAAUUGGCGGGGGAGCAC
This 760-nucleotide ribosomal RNA is filed under the name uncultured archaeon. RNAcentral's name for it is "bacterial SSU rRNA". It matches the Rfam family "Archaeal small subunit ribosomal RNA", at positions 113 to 879 of the family's 1478-position model. The record is from RNAcentral.